AGGCAUGGAUCGAGAGAGGGUUCAAUAGUCAUAGUUUUGAUGAAUGGUAAUACAGCUAAUGACUUAACCUGUGACCCAGUUGAAUCUAGCAGUCACCUCUGCACAGCUACUCCAGGGCCAGAGUCUCGUUCAGCCAGAGUUUGCAGGUCCUCUUACACAUCAGAAGCACCUCAUAUAUGGAUGCCGAAGUGAGCUGCUCUUUGGUUCUCGAGUGGAAACGGAGUGGGGAGGGUCCCUGGGAACGCAACUUGGGGGCAGUUUCAGAUGGUUCCCGACAGGCGAGAGGAGCAAAGAAAUUCACUCAUCCGGAAAGCAGAUCGAGAAAGCCAGUGUGGCCGGAGCUGCGAUUUCCCUGCAAGGGUCGCGGGAGGAGGGGAGGCGAUGCGAGUGUUCCUGUUUGCGUUCGCUUGCGCCAGCUUCUCCAGCCCCUCAAGCACAAAUGGGGAAAAGUCAGCUAGGAUUAUUGACUAGAAACACUACGUUAGAAGCCGGGGCUGCCCCAGCAACUGGACAGGUGCCAGCUCUGAUCUCCAGGCUGGGACCUGCAGGCAUACUUGGAGACAUUAAACCAUGAAGCAAAGAACCAAAACCUUUCACCAAUUUUAUUUGAUCUAGAAACAAUUAAGUAAAAGUGCUGAAGUCCAUGUUAUAUGGGGAACAGGAAACUUCAAAAUAAGCAGAGAAAGCUGGGGGCUGGUUUCCAUGGUAGCAGCUUGCAGUAAAGCCUAAUUCCUUGUGACAAAGAGGUCAUCUUCCUUUUCAAAUGUGUUUAUGAUCCCUUUGUGCAUUGUAUUUUGGCAUAAAGGCUUCUAUGCCCUGUCAGGGCUCCGCAGGCAGCUCUAUGACUCUCAAGGGGGUUUAUUGCCUCCUUGGUAUAAGAAUAGCAGAAAGAAGCCAAACUAGUGCCAGUGUGACAAAAGAUAACCUCACGGGCUUGCUGUUGCUUUCUUUCUGUUAACACAUAAAUCUUGCUAUGCACUGAAAUAAUUAAAAAAUGAGAGAUUCUGGGAUAACUUUGAUUUUGUGUUUUUUCAACCUUUUACAUAAAUUGAAACACUACAUGCAAACAUGUACAAGAAGAUUGAUUCAGUGUGAGGAUAUAAUUAUUUUUUGCCUCACUUUCCACAUAAUUU
Bos taurus (domestic cattle) is the source of this 1133-nucleotide long non-coding RNA. NCBI's taxonomy places the organism in Eukaryota, Metazoa, Chordata, Mammalia, Artiodactyla, Bovidae. The record is from Ensembl.